GGAACUCUAGUAACCUGAGGUGUAACACUGACUUUUGGACAUUCAGGACAUCGUGAGGAGUGAAUGGCCUAGAGAGUUGCUUUCCUUUAUUGCAAAUACACAGAACUGAUUUCAAUUUACAUAGAGUGAUUGAGAGAGUGACCAGCCUGGGCCAUCUAGUCCGUUCUACCUGUGAAGGAAUGAAAUGACAGGGACAGUGAAAGAAGAGGUCACAUGUUUGCAGAGAAGGCAGGGAAUGCAAACUCUCGCCAUCCAGGGCUGAAUUUAAGUAUGCAUUUCCAUACUGAUGCACUAUCAGAAGUGGUGUGGUGAAAGUGAAAUUGAAGCCAGCGCUCUACUUCAAAUAUAAUGGAAAGUUAAUAGAUGUUGAGGGGAUGAAGGUGCUACUCUAGAAACCUACAAAUCUAUAAAUCAUUACAAACAUUGUUUCUCUGGGUAAAAGUGCUCUCUCUUCCAAACAAAUAAAUGACUUGGAAAGUAACAUUUUUAGGUAGAACAGCAUCCUAAAUUGGUGAAAGUCUGUCUUAAAAUGUUCUCCCAAGGAAUGGGAUAUUAAGUUGUUCCUCUCCUAUACAAUGGAAUGCCUAAUUAUUUCUCUUCCAAAUAGUUUCAUGCUCAAUUGUUCCUCUCUCAAGCAAUGGCACAUUCAAUCAGUCCUCUCCCAAACAAUGGAGACCACUCAGUUGUUCCUCUUCCAACAGUUGAAUACUCAAUUGUUCCUCUCCCAAGCAACGAACGAUUCAAUUACUCAGGUGAAUGCAGUUGAAAAGAUUUCAUUUCUAGCAGUGUAAAGCAAAGCUGUGCUCACAGCACUGUUUGGGGCCCAGCUCACUUCUGUUGGAAUCAGGCAAGUUCAUGGUUAUUAUCAUGAUCCUUUGGGAUCAUUUUGAAACUCUCUGAAUAGGAGAAUAUCAGUAACUUAUUGGAGCUUCACAUUCUCCUGCCAACCAAGCAAAGUGACAAGAAUGGUCUCCAUUUAACGUCUGAGCUUGUGGAUACCAUUACGGAUAUGUCACAGCUGAGGGGAAGCUGAACAGAAUACUUUAAUAUCAGAUCUGGAUUCAUUGAGCUCCUGCUACAAAGCUGAGUACCAUCCCUGCUCUCAGGAGGCUCACAUUCUAGUUGUCUAGGGAGAUACAACACGAGAGAAUCAUUUGAGUGGUUGCCAACUGCCCGGGCGACUCAGAGGAUGCAGAGCUCCACUCUGCCUGGAGAGUUGGGAAAGGCCGCCCAAAGACGACAGUCCACUUUGGGCCUUGAAAAAUGGCAAGUAUUUUGACAAAUGCAGAAGACUAGGAAGAAUACAUCUGGGCAGAGAGAAAAGCACAAGCAUGGCGUGAACAUUCCCAGCUUAGGAUGGUGGAGAGCUGUAGCUGGUAUUGGUUUCGGAUGCAGGCAGCAGUGAGAAGUAGCAGGAAGCGAGAUCUUAGGUCCAGGACCGGGAGUCCUAACCACUGGACCACAGGGGCCAGCAGCUAGGGCCUGGGUCCCUGGUUCUCACCUGCCUUGUCAGGAAAAAAAUUCAGGCAAGGAGGCAGAAGGUAAAGACAAAAGUAAAAAGUUUAUUGGAAGAGAAAAGUACAUGCGGAAAGACGCAUGGGCGAACUCUGAGAGUCGCACCUUUGGGAAGUUUACAUCUUUUAUGAGGGGGCAGUCUUCCGGGUCUUUGUCUUCUUUUUGGCCAAUCGUAUUGUUUGGACCCCAUGGCUAAUUUGCCUCUGGAACCUCCCCUGGGCGUGUACGCACCCUUUAGUUAAGAUGGAUCGCACUGCAAAGGCCUCGGGGAGGAGGUAGCAGGACUUACUAUGGUCUGGCAUCUCCUGCCUUGUUGACCCCGUGAAGGCUUUUGCACAUGCAUAGUGUCUCCCUUGUCCCAAGGAUGGGAAAUGUGUAACCUCUUGAUCCUUUAAUAGGGUUUAGUCCCGCUCUGCCCCUGCCGUAAAAAUGCCCAAUGUCUGGUUAUUUACCCUAUUCCUGUUGCCGGUUUUAUGUUGAGGUGCAGAUCUCUAAAUAUAGACAGGAGUCCGGUCAUCAAUAUGUAGUCCUGGAGCCCGUUUGUCUCUUGCUUCAGGAAGUGUAAACAGGGGGCUGGUAAUGAAUGUCCGGCCUGGAGCUCAUCUUCUUCUCACCCCAGGAGGUGUGAACAGGAGGUCAGUUGUAAAUGUCUAGCCUGGAGCCCAUCUACCUCCCGCCUCAGCAUGUUUUAGAUACAGGAUACCUGGAGCAAGGUGAUGAGACUUGAGGCCGAAUUUUGAAGGACGUGAAGUGACAUUCUCUGGAGUUUUGCUUUUCUUCUGAAACCCUCCAGUUAUACAGAAGGCAAGAGAAGACGUGAUUGACAGCAGAGAGCCCAGAGAUUAGCACAGUCUCGGAGAUGUCCAUCUAAGCCCUGAUUACACAGGACAUGGGGUGAGGUCCCUGAUGUCCAUGAAACUGACGAAAAAGUGGAACAUACACAAAAGUGCCAAGUUUGCCCGUGUCUGACAGGAGCCACAUUUCUUGCCUGACUCCUGUUUCCUAUCUGUAGUCUCCAGAUCUUUGUGGUUUCUCAAAAUUCUUCUGAAGGCAGGAUGUGAAACAAAUGCUCCAAGGAAUGUCCCUACUACAGAGACCCUUCAUCUGUCUUGGACACACAGAUGAAGUGUUUGGGGGAUAUAAACAGUGCACGGAGAUGGAGAUGGCACGCUGGUCAUCUCUCCUCCUGGAGGUAGAAAGUCACCUCCAGCUACCGAGGAAGGGUCAACAGGAUACCGGACACAGAUGCAAUAAUGGAUCCACAAGGAAAUUAAGUAACUUAUCCCAGGCCACAGAGUGAAGAAGAGGAGGAGCAGAGACUGGAUGGAACCUGAGGAGUUUGGCCCCAUGGUACUUGCUGCCCUCCUGCCUUCGCUUACACUUAGUCACUUCAGCUUGAGCUGCAGCUUCAUAAUGGAAUCAUUAUAAUGGAUCAAUGUUUACAGCACUUUAGAAUUUAUAAAACUUUUUAAAAUCAUGUUCAUCUGAUCAUGUCCUCUUAACAUUUGUUUUAUUGCCUCGAUUCUGGAACUAAGAAGACUGAAGAUUGAAAAAGUUAAGUGACUGCACAGAUUCACAAACUUGUUAGUAGCAGAGACGUUCCUUAGAUGGGGGCCCCAUACUCAGAGUUCCGGCAUUUUUUUCGGCAGCAUGGCAGCUAACUCUGUGAAAAGAGAAAUAAUCAUCUCCCCACGGCCUGCUUCAGACCUGAGAAUGUGAGAAAGUGCUUUGGAAGGUGUAAAAUGUCCUACAAACGUGUGUCCUCCUGGCUUUAAGUUUAAAAGCACUUUCCAACGCACUCCUUAAUGAGCUGGCCGUGGUACUGAAGAUGGGAAACGACGCAGGCAGCUGGUCCUCUUUCCCUUGGGCGUUUCAGUUGCUUGAGUCUCUGACACCCCGCAGGUCCCCAUGGUGAGGUGGACAUGACAUGUUAAUUCUGCAGCAGUUUGGCCUGGAGCAAGCCUGGCAGCCAUGUAAUGAGAGGGACCCUUGUCGCUGCUGGCAGAAAGGGGGAAAGUUAGAUAUGACAAGCGGAUUCUCAGAGACAAAUUGUGUUAUGAAGAAAGCAAAGUGAUAUCUCUUGGUUUCCCUGGAAAAUUGUUCUAUCCACCUGGAAUGACUUGGUAGCAGGAGGAGGGACUGAGCAGGAGGGCAUCAGGCAGGCUGAAGCGAGCCACUAGAAAUCCUACAACUGCAAUGAACUGAACGCUACCAACAACCUGAAUGAUCUUGGAAGAGGACCUCUAGCCUCCGAUGAGAACCCAGCUUUGGCUAACACCGUGAAUGUAGCCUUGUGACCCCUGAGCAGGGAACCAUAAGCCAUGCUGGAACUUCUGAUGCACAGAGACUAUGAGAUAAUAAAUGUGCAAUGUCACUAAAAAAAGUGUAAUGUCUGCAGUGGCAGAAACCAACAGUGAUAGAAUAUGAAUAGAGUGGUCCCUUUUCCUUCUGGCCUUGAGCACCAGGGCCUGGAUGUUUUUAUUUUCUUCAAUCAUCAAAAAGGUCUCUUGGGAAAGGACAGUAAAUCCGUUCAUACUAACGUGAACUUGACUAGCUACCCUCCCAACAGAGGCACUCAUACACAGGGAGCCUUAAAAGCUGUGUCUCCUUGUAAAAAAAGUCUGCUGCAUAUUAACCCCUAAUCAAAUAUAUUAGGAACUCAUACAACUCAGUAGCAAAAAAAUCAAAAAAUCUGAUUUAAAAAUGGGUAAGAAACUUGAAUAGACAUUUUUCCAGAGAAGACAUACAGAUGGCCAACAGGUACAUGAAAAGAUGCUUAAUAUCACUAAUCAUUCAGAAAAUGCAAAUCAAAACCACAAUGAGAUAUCACCUCAUACCUGUUAGGAUGGCUAUUAUCAAAAAGACAUAAAAUAACAAAUCCUGAUAAAGAUAGAGAAAAGGAACCCUUGUGCACUGUUGAUGGGAAUGUAAAUUGGUACAGCCAGCAUGAAAAACAUCAUGGAUAUUCCUCCAAAAAUUAAAAGUAGAACCACCAUAUGAUCCAGCAGUCUCACUUUGGGUAUGAAUCCAAAAUGAAAUCACUAUCUUGCAGAGAUAUCUGCCUUCCCAUGUUCACUUCAGCAUUGUUUAUAAUAACCAAGACAUGGAAACAACCUAAGUUUCCACUGAUGGAUAAAAAAGUUGUGAUAUACAUAUAUAUAUAUAUAUAUAUAUA
Globicephala melas (long-finned pilot whale) is the source of this 4690-nucleotide long non-coding RNA. RefSeq lists it as uncharacterized. The record is from RefSeq and is a predicted model, not a curated record. Lineage: Eukaryota; Metazoa; Chordata; Mammalia; Artiodactyla; Delphinidae.